AGUAUAUAUAUUUUAUAUAAAUACCACAUUGUCUUUCAUUUAAUUUGAAAAAGUACGAAAUCCAUGUAGUCGAGUGUUUACUGUUCGUAUUCAAGCCGAGCUUAGGCAUAGAAAAAGCUUUCGGCUGCUUUGGACCCUACAAUUGAGCUACACACGUGAUUGUGCGUUGACGCUGAGCAAUUAGCCGAAUGCGAAUUAAAUUGAAUUUAAAAAUAAAAUCAUAUCAAAUGAUAUAAUGGCUUGUGUACACACACACGGCUAUUUAUAGGGCCUUUUGUUGGCUGGCCACUUUUCUAGCCAAACGAUUCGCAACGCAUUCCAUCAGUUAGAAGCAGUUAAUGCGGUUUAGAAGCAGAACCAUUUAGGUGAGCCAAAUGCGAAGCCAGCGAUAUGCCCCGCCGAUAUGUAGGGUAUACAUAUGUACAUAUGAAAAAAGCUCUCGCGACACACUAAAAAUUAAAGGUACUCGCACAACUCCGCCAACACAAUCACAUACAUACAUACAUAAAUUAACAACCAGAGUAGACCUCGUAUAACUUGCUCCCCGACUCAAAAGUGGUUGGCUGCAGCUCGUUUGUUGUUGCACCACCACUUCGAGUUGCUUACGAAAAAAAAACACUAGGUUUCUGUAGUAUUUCUAUAUUUCAGUAUUUCUGUACUUUUUGUAAUUUUUCCAUUGUGAUUGUAGCUGGCCAAAGCGUUGCACUUGCACCAACACAGAUGCAGAAUGCCAGGGUAUUUGCUGGCGACUACACACUCAUCUUGAUUGCCACCGAACAGCUGCGCCGCCUGCUGUUUGCUUAGAUUAUUUCUAUUAUUUUGAACAAUUCUGGGAAUUGCUUUUAAUAUUAAUAAUAAUAAGAAACUUGAUAAGAUGCUUGCGGUGCUGACUAUCGAACCAGUGUUCUGAGUCGCGUAUUGCUCAUACGCCAUGUUGGCCAGAAACCGGUUUUCUUCACUUUUUUCGUGUCGCUCGAUUUUGUUUUGAUUUUUCCCUCCUCCACGGACUUGUAUCAUGCUAGAUGCUCGUUUAUUAUCUAUUUUCGGUGACCCAACAUUGGACCCGCCUCGGGUAUUAUGGUUUAUGAUUAAAAUGUCACAAGCCAACGAACCAACGGGCAACCUACGAAACAAAAGCCACACUUCAGGUUGGUCAAACUCAAGUGAUUAGUCAAUAAAACGAAGUGGCUUUCUUUGUUUAUGUUUAUGCAACACGAAAGAUGAGAGAUGGGGCACAGCAUCCCUCUCUCUAAUUGGGAUCAUCCCACCGCUAAUCCCAUGGCUUUUAUUUACCAUUUCUUUCUCAGCUGGCUGCCACAUUAUUAAUUACUGUAUUAUUUAGUUUGUAUAAUUUGCAUAGCACAAUGAACAACCAAACUCAUUUCACAUUGCAUCACUGAUUGUGCGAGCCAAUUGAAAAUGUGGUUUGGGGCGGUGAAAUAUGUGAGUGACGGUUGGAUUACAAUAAUCCAGAUACUUUUACAGCAAGUUGUUGAAAUGCUUGACUAACGUGCAUUCUAAUCAGCUAGGAAUUUCCAAGCAGUUGCUUCUAUGAUAUUCUACUGAAACUAAUGAAUUAAUAAGUAAUCGAUUGGAAUAUAAGAAAACCUCAGCGAUUUGAAUAUUCCAAGUAGUUCAAGUAUAAGUAGAGAUCGUAACAUAAAAUACAUUUCAUUUUCUUUAUACUUCUUUGUUAAUAUAAGAUUAUUUGUAGAGCAUCACACUUAAACAUUUUACUUAUCAAGUAAAAUAUAUAUUAAAUUAUCGCUCUAAGUCAAAAGCAGCAAUACUAGAGCACAUUCUUAGAUUAGAAUUAUUAGAAAUCUCGACAAUAAGAAAGUCCCCGAUUUUUCAUUUAUUUUAAUAGCUAAGAAUAUAGUAGCGAAUAUGAAUUCCCCUCAAAGUAAACGAGAAUCAGACAGAGAUAUAGAAAACUAUAUCUGUGAUAUUCGAUCCAGGUAUCGAGCUCUAAAGUUUUACGAUUUGGGUUUUUCCCCAACCAUAAACAACCAUAGUGAAUCCGAGCCAAGUGGGAAAAUGGUAGAGAAAGAUGCGCUUAGCCCGACUCGCAAAUUGGCACCCGGCUUCGGAUUUCGGCUCCGUCUCCGGCUGGAACUACUGCGACUUUGAUCGCGGAGAUCACGGGGAACGGCGAUGCCGGGUGCUACGAGGUACCAGCGGCGAACUGGCACCGUCUUAGGCCUGGGAAUUGUGUAAAGUGAAUACAGAAAAAAUAAAAACAAAAACUGCAAACGAACUACACAAAAAUAAACACACACAUAAAACACAAACUAAAAACGAGAAAAAUGAAUGAAAAAAGCGAAUUCAAUGCAGGUAUCGGACGGAUACAUGCGAGUAUCUCAGAAAUACAAUGCGCCAGUGCCUAAUAACUGGAUACAAGUUGAUGUUUGAGUGUGUCUAUGUGCAAAAUAAAAUCAAAACAAAACUCGAAAAGCUCAUAAAUAAUAGCCACACAAAAAUGAACAACAAAGGUUUUCAGUCGUUAGCGCAGCUCGCCAUUUUGACUUGGCUAAAAUUAGCUAAUAACGAUAAAAAAUUGUAAACAGAAAACCAAAAUAAACCAAAAAAGUUAUGAGCUUAUGAAAAGCAAGCGAAAUAAAAUAUCAUGCGGAUUUUGAUGGACUUGGAAGUACAGAAAAUAUUACUGCAACGUUAUUAGCAACUAUCUUAACUAUCAAAUAGUACUCUUAUUUAACUCUAAUUCCGUGCUCGCAUGUCAUUUGGGUGUGAUUUUCUCAUAAAAAAAAAAAACUAAAAACUCUUACUUAUUUAUUAGCCCCAUUUCUCAAGAAGGUUCCCCGAUUAAAUUAUACCCUUCAGGCGCCACUUCAUUUGCCUACCACUUUUCCCCACCCAAUUAGUGAUCCCAACUUCCUAGACCCGCAUUUGAUGCGGUUCCCGGUUUCAUCGCAUUUGAUGCGAGUUGGUCACGGGAGAGUGAACGAGGCAGUAAUUACGAUUGGAUUUCGAAUGCUUCAACGAUUGCCGCGGGGAUUUUGUUUAAUUUUUUAUACGUGUACUUGCACACAUGUACGAGUAUAUACUGUAGGUGGCUGCCGGAGAAACUGCGUUCUAAGAAUCGAGCAUCUUGCCCCGCUUUCGUAUUGGAACGAACGUGCGACCUGUGAUUAGCACCUCAUCGCCAGGGGCCCAGUUCAUCCGGAGUUACCUGUCCACAGAGAACUGGCCUGCGACCCCUUCAUCGCCACUUCGUCCCUGCGGAGAUGGGCAUGUGAUGAAAGCAUGCCCAAAUAAAUUAAGCCAAUUUGGACAGGAACAAUAGAAGUUUUUUGUAUGCCUAGCAGUCCGUAAAUUGACAGAGAUCUUCAUUUGUGCGGUUCGUGUUUUUGCCUCUCGGUUCCUCUAAAUCUGCCAAUUAGCGACGCUUUGAGGUGUGUGUGUGUUUAUCCACAAAUAUAUAUAAUUAACACGAACAUAAACGGAUAUUGUUAGGGUUUUUGGUACACCCUUAAAAAGGGGAUAUCAUUUGUUUUGGAUGUUUUAGAAGAUUCUAAUACCAUUAAUAUCUUUUAAUAAUUAUUUCAUGUAUUAUUAAAGAUAUAAAGAUCUUGAUAUAUGAUUAAAGAUAAAGAUAUAUGCUUUAUUUUAAAUAUAUUUCAAUGCUGAUAAAUGGUUAAGUAUAUCUUACUCUAAAUCUAUGCUUUAAAAAGCAUUGCCUGCUUUUAGGAACCCAAAGGAUACUUAUGACCUAAAACUUAAAUAAAUAAAACAUAAAUAUUGAAAUUAAACUUUUUUUCAUAAUUAUAAUUAUAUAAUUUGCUUAUUAGAGUAUAUAACGCAUCGGCUUGAUUUGCGCUAGUUCUGCCCCCCACAUAUCAUUUUUGACUUACAUCGCACUCCACUGCAAUUAUCACAUUUUUCGAAUGCGGAUCCAUAAGUUUUCUAGUUCAGCUGCGAAUGUCAAUGACUCGGCGCUGCUGUAAGCUUUUUGGAUUGGAACUGCGCCGGCGUUUACCGCUCUCAUUUGUCAACGCCGGCAAACAGCCGCAAGUACAACUAAGUACACACAAAAGUGCCGCCCUCAAUGCCCACGGAGCGUUGCGUUUUUUAACGCUUCUCAGGUAUUAAUUGCCGGCCAGAUCACGAAAAUAAAUAAAUAAAUAUGCUCGCAGGGGGAAAAAUUAGCUACAUUUGUAGCCGCACAUAUUUGGUUUAAAUGCUCAUUAAAUUGAGUUAUGGCAGAGGAGGAAGCUAUGCAGUCUGUGGGUGCUGGCUACUUAGGAAAGUGAUUUAAGAAAGUUUGGGAAAUGGGAAACUGGGUUGUUUAACUCAGAGGAAUUCAAUGCUUUGGUUUAAAAUUUUC
Molecule: long non-coding RNA, 4345 nt
Organism: Drosophila simulans
Lineage: Eukaryota; Metazoa; Arthropoda; Insecta; Diptera; Drosophilidae
Exons: 2
Source: RefSeq, a predicted model, not a curated record